RNAcentral lists this transfer RNA (67 nucleotides) under Phyllotreta hemipoda. RNAcentral describes it as "tRNA-Cys". Lineage: Eukaryota; Metazoa; Arthropoda; Insecta; Coleoptera; Chrysomelidae. The record is from RNAcentral.
AGUCUUAUAUUCAAAUAUGAUUUUAAAUUGCAAAUUUAAAGGUAAAUUUUUUUAAAUUUUAAGGCUU